CAGUCGCCGCGGUAAGACGGAGGGUGCUAGCGUUGUUCGGAAUCACUGGGCGUAAAGGGCGCGUAGGCGGCCUGUUAAGUCGGAUGUGAAAGCCCGGGGCUCAACCCCGGAACUGCAUCCGAGACUGGCAGGCUUGAGACCGGGAGAGGAGGGUGGAAUAUCCAGUGUAGAGGUGAAAUUCGUAGAUAUUGGAUGGAACACCGGUGGCGAAAGCGGCUCUCUGGCCCGGAUCUGACGCUGAGGCGCGAAAGCGUGGGGAGCAAACAGGAUUAGAGACCCCUGUAGUCCCUGUCUCUUAUAC
RNAcentral lists this ribosomal RNA (301 nucleotides) under uncultured bacterium. Its description in RNAcentral is "partial 16S ribosomal RNA". It matches the Rfam family "Bacterial small subunit ribosomal RNA", at positions 509 to 807 of the family's 1533-position model. The record is from RNAcentral.